RNAcentral lists this ribosomal RNA (451 nucleotides) under uncultured bacterium. Its description in RNAcentral is "partial 16S ribosomal RNA". It matches the Rfam family "Bacterial small subunit ribosomal RNA", at positions 354 to 796 of the family's 1533-position model. The record is from RNAcentral.
GUGGGGAAUUUUGGACAAUGGGGGGAACCCUGAUCCAGCCAUGCCGCGUGUGUGAAGAAGGCCUUUUGGUUGUAAAGCACUUUAAGCGAGGAGGAGGCUACCGAGAUUAAUACUCUUGGAUAGUGGACGUUACUCGCAGAAUAAGCACCGGCUAACUCUGUGCCAGCAGCCGCGGUAAUACAGAGGGUGCAAGCGUUAAUCGGAUUUACUGGGCGUAAAGCGCGCGUAGGUGGCCAAUUAAGUCAAAUGUGAAAUCCCCGAGCUUAACUUGGGAAUUGCAUUCGAUACUGGUUGGCUAGAGUAUGGGAGAGGAUGGUAGAAUUCCAGGUGUAGCGGUGAAAUGCGUAGAGAUCUGGAGGAAUACCGAUGGCGAAGGCAGCCAUCUGGCCUAAUACUGACACUGAGGUGCGAAAGCAUGGGGAGCAAACAGGAUUAGAAACCCUAGUAGUCC